UUAAGCGACUAAGCGUACACGGUGGAUGCCCUGGCAGUCAGAGGCGAUGAAGGACGUGCUAAUCUGCGAUAAGCGUCGGUGAGGUGAUAUGAACCGUUAUAACCGGCGAUUUCCGAAUGGGGAAACCCAGUGUGUUUCGACACACUAUCAUUAACUGAAUCCAUAGGUUAAUGAGGCGAACCGGGGGAACUGAAACAUCUAAGUACCCCGAGGAAAAGAAAUCAACCGAGAUUCCCCCAGUAGCGGCGAGCGAACGGGGAGGAGCCCAGAGCCUGAAUCAGUGUGUGUGUUAGUGGAAGCGUCUGGAAAGGCGCGCGAUACAGGGUGACAGCCCCGUACACAAAAAUGCACAUAUUGUGAGCUCGAUGAGUAGGGCGGGACACGUGGUAUCCUGUCUGAAUAUGGGGGGACCAUCCUCCAAGGCUAAAUACUCCUGACUGACCGAUAGUGAACCAGUACCGUGAGGGAAAGGCGAAAAGAACCCCGGCGAGGGGAGUGAAAAAGAACCUGAAACCGUGUACGUACAAGCAGUGGGAGCCUCUUAAUGGGGUGACUGCGUACCUUUUGUAUAAUGGGUCAGCGACUUAUAUUCUGUAGCAAGGUUAACCGAAUAGGGGAGCCGAAGGGAAACCGAGUCUUAACUGGGCGUUAAGUUGCAGGGUAUAGACCCGAAACCCGGUGAUCUAGCCAUGGGCAGGUUGAAGGUUGGGUAACACUAACUGGAGGACCGAACCGACUAAUGUUGAAAAAUUAGCGGAUGACUUGUGGCUGGGGGUGAAAGGCCAAUCAAACCGGGAGAUAGCUGGUUCUCCCCGAAAGCUAUUUAGGUAGCGCCUCGUGAAUUCAUCUCCGGGGGUAGAGCACUGUUUCGGCAAGGGGGUCAUCCCGACUUACCAACCCGAUGCAAACUGCGAAUACCGGAGAAUGUUAUCACGGGAGACACACGGCGGGUGCUAACGUCCGUCGUGAAGAGGGAAACAACCCAGACCGCCAGCUAAGGUCCCAAAGUCAUGGUUAAGUGGGAAACGAUGUGGGAAGGCCCAGACAGCCAGGAUGUUGGCUUAGAAGCAGCCAUCAUUUAAAGAAAGCGUAAUAGCUCACUGGUCGAGUCGGCCUGCGCGGAAGAUGUAACGGGGCUAAACCAUGCACCGAAGCUGCGGCAGCGACACUAUGUGUUGUUGGGUAGGGGAGCGUUCUGUAAGCCUGUGAAGGUGGCCUGUGAGGGUUGCUGGAGGUAUCAGAAGUGCGAAUGCUGACAUAAGUAACGAUAAAGCGGGUGAAAAGCCCGCUCGCCGGAAGACCAAGGGUUCCUGUCCAACGUUAAUCGGGGCAGGGUGAGUCGACCCCUAAGGCGAGGCCGAAAGGCGUAGUCGAUGGGAAACAGGUUAAUAUUCCUGUACUUGGUGUUACUGCGAAGGGGGACGGAGAAGGCUAUGUUGGCCGGGCGACGGUUGUCCCGGUUUAAGCGUGUAGGCUGGUUUUCCAGGCAAAUCCGGAAAACCAAGGCUGAGGCGUGAUGACGAGGCACUACGGUGCUGAAGCGACAAAUGCCCUGCUUCCAGGAAAAGCCUCUAAGCAUCAGGUAACAUCAAAUCGUACCCCAAACCGACACAGGUGGUCAGGUAGAGAAUACCAAGGCGCUUGAGAGAACUCGGGUGAAGGAACUAGGCAAAAUGGUGCCGUAACUUCGGGAGAAGGCACGCUGAUAUGUAGGUGAAGCGACUUGCUCGUGGAGCUGAAAUCAGUCGAAGAUACCAGCUGGCUGCAACUGUUUAUUAAAAACACAGCACUGUGCAAACACGAAAGUGGACGUAUACGGUGUGACGCCUGCCCGGUGCCGGAAGGUUAAUUGAUGGGUUAGCGGUAACGCGAAGCUCUUGAUCGAAGCCCCGGUAAACGGCGGCCGUAACUAUAACGGUCCUAAGGUAGCGAAAUUCCUUGUCGGGUAAGUUCCGACCUGCACGAAUGGCGUAAUGAUGGCCAGGCUGUCUCCACCCGAGACUCAGUGAAAUUGAACUCGCUGUGAAGAUGCAGUGUACCCGCGGCAAGACGGAAAGACCCCGUGAACCUUUACUAUAGCUUGACACUGAACAUUGAGCCUUGAUGUGUAGGAUAGGUGGGAGGCUUUGAAGUGUGGACGCCAGUCUGCAUGGAGCCGACCUUGAAAUACCACCCUUUAAUGUUUGAUGUUCUAACGUUGGCCCCUAAUCGGGGUUGCGGACAGUGUCUGGUGGGUAGUUUGACUGGGGCGGUCUCCUCCUAAAGAGUAACGGAGGAGCACGAAGGUUGGCUAAUCCUGGUCGGACAUCAGGAGUUAGUGCAAUGGCAUAAGCCAGCUUGACUGCGAGCGUGACGGCGCGAGCAGGUGCGAAAGCAGGUCAUAGUGAUCCGGUGGUUCUGAAUGGAAGGGCCAUCGCUCAACGGAUAAAGGUACUCCGGGGAUAACAGGCUGAUACCGCCCAAGAGUUCAUAUCGACGGCGGUGUUUGGCACCUCGAUGUCGGCUCAUCACAUCCUGGGGCUGAAGUAGGUCCCAAGGGUAUGGCUGUUCGCCAUUUAAAGUGGUACGCGAGCUGGGUUUAGAACGUCGUGAGACAGUUCGGUCCCUAUCUGCCGUGGGCGCUGGAGAACUGAGGGGGGCUGCUCCUAGUACGAGAGGACCGGAGUGGACGCAUCACUGGUGUUCGGGUUGUCAUGCCAAUGGCACUGCCCGGUAGCUAAAUGCGGAAGAGAUAAGUGCUGAAAGCAUCUAAGCACGAAACUUGCCCCGAGAUGAGUUCUCCCUGACUCCUUGAGAGUCCUGAAGGAACGUUGAAGACGACGACGUUGAUAGGCCGGGUGUGUAAGCGCAGCGAUGCGUUGAGCUAACCGGUACUAAUGAACCGUGAGGCUUAACCUU
Molecule: ribosomal RNA, 2898 nt
Filed under: Escherichia coli
Lineage: Bacteria; Pseudomonadati; Pseudomonadota; Gammaproteobacteria; Enterobacterales; Enterobacteriaceae
Description: bacterial LSU rRNA
Rfam family: Bacterial large subunit ribosomal RNA
Source: RNAcentral